RNAcentral lists this transfer RNA (77 nucleotides) under Acidobacteriaceae bacterium. Its description in RNAcentral is "tRNA-Arg". It matches the Rfam family "tRNA". Rfam says of the family: Transfer RNA (tRNA) molecules are approximately 80 nucleotides in length. Their secondary structure includes four short double-helical elements and three loops (D, anti-codon, and T loops). Lineage: Bacteria; Pseudomonadati; Acidobacteriota; Terriglobia; Terriglobales; Acidobacteriaceae. RNAcentral also lists the same sequence under 1 other name. The record is from RNAcentral.
GCGCCCGUAGCUCAGCUGGAUAGAGCGGCAGCCUCCGAAGCUGUAGGCCAGAGGUUCGAAUCCUCUCGGGCGCACCA